Molecule: ribosomal RNA, 253 nt
Filed under: uncultured bacterium
Lineage: Bacteria
Description: partial 16S ribosomal RNA
Rfam family: Bacterial small subunit ribosomal RNA
Source: RNAcentral
GACGAGGGGUCCUAGCGUUGUUCGGAAUCAUUGGGCGUAAAGCGUGUGUAGGUGGCCAUUCAAGUCAGUUGUGAAAGCCCCGGGCUCAACCCGGGAAGUGCUUCUGAUACUGUUUGGCUUGAGUACUGGAGAGGAUAGUGGAAUUCCUGGUGUAGUGGUGAAAUACGUAGAUAUCAGGAGGAACAUCGGUGGCGAAGGCGGCUAUCUGGCCAUGUACUGACACUGAGACACGAAAGCGUGGGGAGCAAACAGG